CAGCCGCCGCGGUAAUACGGAGGGUGCAAGCGUUAUCCGGAUUUACUGGGUUUAAAGGGUGUGUAGGCGGGCUAUUAAGUCAGUGGUGAAAUCUCCGAGCUUAACUUGGAAACUGCCAUUGAUACUAUUAGUCUUGAAUUUUGUUGAGGUAGGCGGAAUAAGUCAUGUAGCGGUGAAAUGCAUAGAUAUGACUUAGAACACCAAUUGCGAAGACAGCUUGCUAAACAAAUAUUGACGCUGAGGCACGAAAGCGUGGGGAUCAAACAGGAUUAGAUACCCUGGUAGUCCACGCCCUAAACGAUGAUUACUCGACAUACGCGAUACACAGUGUGUGUCUGAGCGAAAGCAUUAAGUAAUCCACCUGGGAAGUACGACCGCAAGGUUGAAACUCAAAUGAAUUGACGG
RNAcentral lists this ribosomal RNA (405 nucleotides) under Bacteroidetes bacterium enrichment culture clone LiUU-16-703. Its description in RNAcentral is "bacterial SSU rRNA". It matches the Rfam family "Bacterial small subunit ribosomal RNA", at positions 509 to 916 of the family's 1533-position model. The record is from RNAcentral. Lineage: Bacteria; Pseudomonadati; Bacteroidota.